Molecule: ribosomal RNA, 686 nt
Filed under: Theleodinium calcisporum
Lineage: Eukaryota; Dinophyceae
Description: partial large subunit ribosomal RNA
Rfam family: Eukaryotic large subunit ribosomal RNA
Source: RNAcentral
GAAGACAUGAAGUNNNNNNNNNNNNNNNNNNNNNUUUAGCAUAUAAGUAAGCGGAGGAUAAGAAACUAAACAGGAUUCCCUCAGUAAUGGCGAAUGAACAGGGAUGAGCUCAGUAUGGAAAUUGGGCCCUGUGGCCUUGAAUUGUAGUCUGGAGAUGUAUCACCAACUGGGGCGCAGAUGUAAGCCUCUUGGAAAAGAGCAUCAAUGAGGGUGAGAGUCCCGCUUGGCAUCUGCAGUCCCCAGUGCACGGUGUAACUUCAAAGAGUCACGUUCCUCGGGAUUGGAGCGCAAAUUGGGUGGUAAAUUUCAUCUAAAGCUAAAUAUUGCUUCGAGACCGAUAGCAAACAAGUACCAUGAGGGAAAGGUGAAAAGGACUUUGAAAAGAGAGUUAAAAGUGCCUGAAAUUGCUGAAAGGGAAGCGAAUGGAGCCAGCGUACCUUGGCAAGAUUGCUACGUGUCAAUGUAUUGCUUGCUUCCUCAACGUAAGUGUGGUUGUAAGUCUUGAGCAAGCCAUGCGUGGUGCUUCUUGCCUUGUGUGUCACUGCCAGUUCGCAGCUGAGGAAAACUUCAGGGACAUGGUAGCGUGCCCCCGGGUGUGUGAAUGUGCCUGCUGGAACUCGUUUGUGGAUUGCUUGGUGAUUAAAUGGUUCCAUCCGACCCGUCUUGAAACACGGACCAAGGAGUCU